Drosophila miranda is the source of this 1399-nucleotide long non-coding RNA. RefSeq lists it as uncharacterized. Lineage: Eukaryota; Metazoa; Arthropoda; Insecta; Diptera; Drosophilidae. The record is from RefSeq and is a predicted model, not a curated record. The transcript has 3 exons.
CCAAGACGAGGUGGUACAAGGCCACCAUGCGCUGACGGUGCUCCGGCUGCAUUGUGGAGAGCACGACUGCGCCGAGGGACUCCAGCGGGGAGACCCUGGGGGAAGGGCCGUCGGAGAGCUCCUCCCACUCCGAGUCCGACUCGGUGCGCUCUAUCGAGCUGAACUCGCUCUGGCUCUGACAGGAGCACGACUCCUCCUCUUGGUCCUCCUCGGUGGGCAUCGAGUAGUCGCCCUCGUAGCGGCAGUCGGAGUACUCUUCGUAGAGGUCGUCGUAGUAGUCUCCGCGGCUGUCCGGAGAAGCGCCGCCUGUCCAGAGGGAGCUCAACACGGGCGGUGGUCCCAUCGAAGCCAUCUGUGGCACAGCAUUGAAUCCAUCUGAAUCCCCCAUCGGAGGGAAGGUGGGGGGGUGAGCGUGACCUAUUGGACCCAUUGGGCGGGACAGCAGAGGACUGGUGUGGAUUUGGCCUAGGAAGGGCAUCGCAUUGAGUCCAUUCCUGUCGGCGGAACCUUCGGGGGGGACCUGCAGCCCCGGCUGCUGCUGCUGCUGCUGGUCGGUAAAGACGAAGGAUCCCAUGGAUCCGAAAAUACCCCGCGAGCGGGUGAAUGGGGAACGUGGAUUGUUAAUAGUUGGAUUCAUCUUAUUCCACCACUUUAUGUUCCCUGUGCUUUCGAUAUUUGCUGCCGUUCUCUGUGUUGUGCCGCUCUCUCCAGAUAUUCGUACUGAAGAAUAUUCAUGCCGUGGACUAUGAGCCGAUCUCGCAUUGGAUUUACUGGAUCGAAGGCAGAAGUCACAGGAUCAAGCGUUCGCUGGCAAAUGGCCUAAAGGUCAGCUUGUUGGCUAACUCUGGACAUUGCCAUCGAGGGCUCUGGUCUGCGGUGGUACCACCAACUGUGACAAUGUCCACGAUGAGGUCGACUGCUGCAAGCGGCCAGAAAAGUUUUAGUGUCCCAUCAACAAGUCCAAAGAAACAUCAGAAAUGUCGGAGGAGGACUGCUCGGGCGGAUCCUCGUUCAUGUGCUGGAUGACGACCACAUUGCAUGAAUCUCCGGCUGGAGUACUGGGGCCGUGCCAGGCGGAUAUAGCGGUUGAGGUCGCCCACCUUGUGGGUCAGAUUGAAGCGGAUUGCCAUCGGAGAGACGCAGCUGGACCGUCGUCAUGGCCGACUUCUCGUUAAGGCUCAGUCUGCCUUUGGUAUGCUGCUCCGGCAAGACCCGCACAGAGCCAAAGGAUGACCAGGCUUCGGAUCCGCUUGCCCUCAACUCUCAGCAAGUCGGAGCGCGUGUCCAAUAUCUCCUCCAAGGCGUCUACGGUGUCUCAUAAUUUUUAGAACUCUACUCGAACUCUUGUCCUUACAAAAUUUCUUUAAUUAAAAGACUACUGAUACAUAGUUGGACAUUA